AGAGUUUGAUUCUGGCUCAGGACGAACGCUGGCGGCGCGCCUAACACAUGCAAGUCGAACGAGAGAGAGGGAGCUUGCUUCCUCAAUCGAGUGGCGAACGGGUGAGUAACGCGUGAGGAACCUGCCUCAAAGAGGGGGACAACAGUUGGAAACGACUGCUAAUACCGCAUAAGCCCACGACCCGGCAUCGGGUAGAGGGAAAAGGAGCAAUCCGCUUUGAGAUGGCCUCGCGUCCGAUUAGCUAGUUGGUGAGGUAACGGCCCACCAAGGCGACGAUCGGUAGCCGGACUGAGAGGUUGAACGGCCACAUUGGGACUGAGACACGGCCCAG
Molecule: ribosomal RNA, 331 nt
Filed under: uncultured bacterium
Lineage: Bacteria
Description: bacterial SSU rRNA
Rfam family: Bacterial small subunit ribosomal RNA
Source: RNAcentral